GGUCCUAUGGUGUAGCGGUUAGCACUUUGGAUUUUGACUGGGGUUUCAGUUAAGUCUGGGCCUAUAAAACAGAAUGUUCCAACGACCUGAGUUCGAAUCUCGGUAGGACCU
This is a transfer RNA of Xylona heveae TC161, 111 nucleotides long. It matches the Rfam family "tRNA". Rfam says of the family: Transfer RNA (tRNA) molecules are approximately 80 nucleotides in length. Their secondary structure includes four short double-helical elements and three loops (D, anti-codon, and T loops). The record is from Rfam. Lineage: Eukaryota; Fungi; Ascomycota; Xylonomycetes; Xylonales; Xylonaceae.